RNAcentral lists this ribosomal RNA (253 nucleotides) under uncultured bacterium. RNAcentral's name for it is "partial 16S ribosomal RNA". It matches the Rfam family "Bacterial small subunit ribosomal RNA", at positions 524 to 776 of the family's 1533-position model. The record is from RNAcentral.
UACGUAGGGGGCAAGCGUUGUCCGGAAUCAUUGGGCGUAAAGCGCGCGUAGGCGGCUAGAUCAGUCUGCUGUAAAAGUCAAAGGCUCAACCUUUGAAAGCCGGUGGAUACUGUCUAGCUAGAGUCCGGAAGAGGCGAGUGGAAUUCCUCGUGUAGCGGUGGAAUGCGCAGAUAUCAGGAGGAACACCAACGGCGAAGGCAGCUCUCUUGGACGGUACUGACGCUAAGGCGCGAAAGCGUGGGGAGCGAACAGG